UUGUUUGCUUUUUUAAUUCAUGUGAGGAAAUUAAGAGUGGCGUUGACUUGCCUAAGUGCGCUCAAUGGCAAAAGGACACAGAUGCCCAUGCACUGACCAGCUGCACCAUGCUGGGCUCCAUUAGCUGAUUAUUGUUGCGCUGGCCCUAGCCUUCCCUGGCGCCUACCUGUGUGUCAACAAUUACUGGGAUGCUAUAAAGCCUACCAGUCAUUGUAUUCCCCAGUACUUUCAAAUAAGAACAGAAGAAUCUGUGUAACAGGCUUAGCAGAUGCUUCAGAGCAAUAAAACAUUUUAACUAAGCAUAAUGUCCUAUACUUGACUUUAUUUUUAAAUAACAUGAUUUAUACAGGUUUCAACUGGUCAAAUUCAGUUAAAUUUAUCAGUUAAUAACCAUCAAACUUAUCUCAUGAUAAAUAAACUCAGAUAAACGAAGAUUUUUUUUCCCCCUUUCUUCAUGA
This 458-nucleotide long non-coding RNA is filed under the name Bos taurus (domestic cattle). RNAcentral's name for it is "long non-coding RNA NONBTAT018821". Lineage: Eukaryota; Metazoa; Chordata; Mammalia; Artiodactyla; Bovidae. The record is from RNAcentral.